GGUUAAGCGACUAAGCGUACACGGUGGAUGCCCUGGCAGUCAGAGGCGAUGAAGGACGUGCUAAUCUGCGAUAAGCGUCGGUGAGGUGAUAUGAACCGUUAUAACCGGCGAUUUCCGAAUGGGGAAACCCAGUGUGUUUCGACACACUAUCAUUAACUGAAUCCAUAGGUUAAUGAGGCGAACCGGGGGAACUGAAACAUCUAAGUACCCCGAGGAAAAGAAAUCAACCGAGAUUCCCCCAGUAGCGGCGAGCGAACGGGGAGGAGCCCAGAGCCUGAAUCAGUGUGUGUGUUAGUGGAAGCGUCUGGAAAGGCGUGCGAUACAGGGUGACAGCCCCGUACACAAAAAUGCACAUAUUGUGAGCUCGAUGAGUAGGGCGGGACACGUGGUAUCCUGUCUGAAUAUGGGGGGACCAUCCUCCAAGGCUAAAUACUCCUGACUGACCGAUAGUGAACCAGUACCGUGAGGGAAAGGCGAAAAGAACCCCGGCGAGGGGAGUGAAAAAGAACCUGAAACCGUGUACGUACAAGCAGUGGGAGCCUCUUAAUGGGGUGACUGCGUACCUUUUGUAUAAUGGGUCAGCGACUUAUAUUCUGUAGCAAGGUUAACCGAAUAGGGGAGCCGAAGGGAAACCGAGUCUUAACUGGGCGUUAAGUUGCAGGGUAUAGACCCGAAACCCGGUGAUCUAGCCAUGGGCAGGUUGAAGGUU
This 709-nucleotide ribosomal RNA is filed under the name Escherichia coli. RNAcentral describes it as "partial 23S ribosomal RNA". It matches the Rfam family "Bacterial large subunit ribosomal RNA", at positions 1 to 753 of the family's 2925-position model. Lineage: Bacteria; Pseudomonadati; Pseudomonadota; Gammaproteobacteria; Enterobacterales; Enterobacteriaceae. The record is from RNAcentral.